GACCCCGCGAGGACCGCCCCAUCUCUCUCGUCGUCACCCCGCACCCCGUUCCCCAAAUUCUUCUCCUCUCCCUCGUUUGCCGCCGCCAGCACUCAUCGGCGCCCUCCCCCACAGCCGUCGCCGCCGCCGCCACCAGCGUCCCCCCUCACAGCCUGCGCCCCACCCCUUCUCUCCUCCCCUUAUCCCGACCACCAGGCGACCUCCUCGCCUCCACUUCGCCCCAGAUCGAGAAGCAGGUCGGGAUCCACGGCCACGGCGGCGUGAGCGCCUCGAUUUAGAUUUAAGCCGCGUGACGAGGGUGCUCUCUGCAGCGCUAACCCAAGUGCCGACGCCACGGACAAGGUGCCCUCUCCAUCACUUCCCUCUCUGUAUUUUUGAUUUGGAGUUGGUGCUCUGUUCCUGUUCGUGAAGCGCCCUCUCUUCUCUGCUGCAAGGUUCGUCAAGCAUCUUUGCUCGUGGAAACCGAGCAGGCAGGAGGUACGAAUAUCUCCUCUCGUCUGGUUUUCUUCAUCCCCCUAUGUGAUGGGUGCCAUCUGUUUUUGUGCAUGUUUCAUGGAGAGGAGAAGCUGCUCCGAUCCCAUCUGCUGAAGGAGGAUGCCCACCAUCCAAGGUGCUCAACAUCACCGCCAUCUGUUGCCUGCCAAGCCAUCUGUAGUUCAGUCAGCUUCAAUGCAAUGCAUGGGUGGUGUCGCAACCAAAGCAAGUUCCAGAACAAUAUAAAGGCCUGAAAGAUCAAAGUAAUUACCCUGCUAAGAAAAUACCAGAGCGAAGAUGUCUGUCUGAUAGGCAAAGCAGACAUAGCAAAGCUUCUUGUAUGUAUUCGGGAGAGGAUGCCUGUUGAUGAUCAGACUGGUAGCGCACGUUUACGGACACCAGUGGGCAGAAACGCAGAAGUCACAACAUUGGACGCAAACGCAAUCAGCAACGGCGACCAGACGUGCAGUGACCCGACGAUUGGCGACGUCUGCAGUACUGGGCGAGUGACGGACGACUGACAAAGUGAUGAUUCAAUUGAUCUGAUGGAUUCAGGGAUAGUUGGCUUGUCUGCCCGUUGGCCUGAAAUCCCACUUCUGAUCUUCUCUGAAACCAAAGGACGGACUGUUGGAGAAGCCCAAAGGCAGUACUGCCGGACCUAGGAGAAGGCGUUGCGGCUGGGUCGUCCAACAUGGAGUGGGGCAACGUUCUUGUAGCUGCCACCUCAUCUAUUAUGGAGCCUGCAUGAUUUUAAUUGGAGGGAAGAUGGGUGUUUUCAUCUGUGGCGUAGUAUAUACCUGGCGUUCAUCUUCGGGCACAGCGUGGCUGGUUCUGGUGCCGGCGAGUUGACGCUCGAACGCCGUCCAGUUAUUAUAUAUCGAGGAGUUACGGCCGGGGAUCGCCGGCGGCGCACGUUCUCGCCUGUCUCGCUCAAGGACUGCAGAGAUGGAGUCUAUGUUGGGCUGCUCCUCCUCGUAUGAUAGGUGGUGCGGUGGUGGUCGCACAGCUGAGAUAUCCAUGGAGGAAGGGGCAAGAUCUCCGUUGGGUGGAUGCUUGAGCAUGUAUUGGAGGGAGAUGGGACUCCACCGUUCAUCCAUUCUACAGCGGAUGGAUAUUUAUUUAUGAGUAUGACCCAUGUACAGCUCAGUUACAGAAGAUGAAGAUGAAGGGAUGCGUUUGGAGGAGAAAUUAAAUCACAAUAUCACAUUCACGGCAGGAAAACAGAAUGCACCGUGAAAGCUUAUGUGGCAAUGAUGCUGAUGCAAGACCAUGAAAGCUGAUGUGGCAUGAUGGUGAUGUGGAUAGUGUGCAUGUUGAGAGAAUUGUUAGUAGUGGGGAUCAACUUUUUAAGAAUGUAGGAUGAUGGAAUCGGGAAAGUACUUGUGCAUUAAAUGAAGUGCUAAUCAUUUUUAGUUAGAUGGCUAUUGUGUUCUUUGUCUACCUAUUGUUGAUUAUACUUACAGGGCCUAGAUCAAUAUAAAGCUGUGGGAUGCACUGCAGAAGGAUUUGAAUGCUGGAAGUAAGAGGGUGAGAUGGAUAGAUAGAGAACCUUAUGCUUACUGGAAAGGGAAUCCAGAGAUCGCAACUAUAAGGCAAGAGCUUAUCAAGUGUAAUGUUUCCAGUAAACAAGAAUGAAAUACAGGGAUCUACAAACAGGAUUGGAUCAAAGAGAGCAAGGCAGGAUACAAGAAAUCAUAUUUGGCCAGUCUAUGCACCCAUAGGUACAAGAUCUACAUUGAAGGAUCAGCAUGGCCAGUUAGUGAGAAGUAUAUCAUAGCUUGUGAUUAAACAAAAUACUACGAUUUCUUUUCAAGGGUGUUGAUGCCCACUCAGCAUUAUUGGCCAGUUCGAGAUGACAGGUUAUAGCAUGUUCAGUUCAUCAGUGAGAUAUCUCCUCUGGUUACCUUUUUUCAGUGUGCUAUGUGCAUCUAGCUGGUGGCCACCAGCUAAAAAGGUGAGAGCAGCCAUGAAGGACUUGCCAGUCGAACUAAAGUGAGAGCGGCCAUGAAGAAAGCUCAAUUUGUGGUCGAAGGCUGCAAAAAAUUAUUCCAGAGUUUGGAACACUCCUGUAGCAUGCCAUCACGACCGCUUGCCUAUCAGGAGUUUCGUGCGUCAUAGGCAAUCUUCCUGUCCUGCUUCCCCCACUGUCUCUAACGGCCAUCUCCCUCUAGAUCUCCAUUCUUUGAGCACAUGGGGAUGUCUUGAUUAUCAAUGCUUUAAUCUAUGCCACUGUUGUUUUUAACAUACUGACUGGCCGUAUCCUACUAUAACUUCAGUUGACACAUUGUGAUCAUCCUCCAUAAAUAUUUUGUAGAUCCAGGCUUAAAUAUAAAAUGUCCUACUCUAUAAUAAUGCUGCUCGUCUACUCUAGGAUCACGCUAAUUGCUAAGUAGUUGAUGAAUACAUAAAUUAUAUAUCUUUGAUAUUUGUUGUUGAACUAAUUAGUACCGAUGUGCCUUCAAGUUCUGAUGCAAUUUAGAACAUCUCUCUUUAAGCAAAA
Molecule: non-coding RNA, 2974 nt
Organism: Aegilops tauschii subsp. strangulata
Lineage: Eukaryota; Viridiplantae; Streptophyta; Magnoliopsida; Poales; Poaceae
Source: RefSeq, a predicted model, not a curated record